RNAcentral lists this transfer RNA (70 nucleotides) under Marmota monax (woodchuck). RNAcentral describes it as "tRNA.Ala". Lineage: Eukaryota; Metazoa; Chordata; Mammalia; Rodentia; Sciuridae. The record is from RNAcentral.
UAGCAUUUGGCUCAGUGGUAGAGUGUGUGCUUAGCAUGGACAAGGUCUUGGGUUCCAUCCAAAACACCAA